GUAAUAUUUAUUAACAUAUUUUGACUAAGACUAUGGAAAUAUUCAAUCAUAAUAAUAAUCAAAAUCAAUAACUAAUAAAAAACAAUAUCUUAACAAGAUAUUAUAAGGUAAGGAAUUUAUUUUUAUAUUAUUUUGACUACAAUCCAAGAAAUUAAGCUCAAGGAUACUUCGAUAAAAUUUUCCUUUUAUGCAAAUUUAUGUUAUUAUAUAUACAACAACAUAAAUCAAAAUAAAACACUAAACAAAAAUUAAGAAAAGUUCAUACAAAAUGGGUUUCUCCAAAAACAUAUUGAUCACAUUUGUUUUCACCAUCUUCUUAGUAGUAUCUAAUGUUCAUUGCUACCCAGACUUUGAAGUAAAACAAGACUACAAAAAAUGCUACAUUCCGUGUAAACAAAUAGCCGAAGGAUGUGCGAGGUUUUGUGCAGCUAUGACCAUUCAGUUAGUUGGUGAAUGUAUUUCUGAUAUAUGUUGUUGUAGGUCAAAAUUGCCAAAUUAACAUUAUUAGAGAUUAUACAUUUUGUACCAGUGUCAAGAGUGCUAAUAAAGAUCCAAAUCAA
Long non-coding RNA from Brassica napus (rape), 560 nucleotides. RefSeq lists it as uncharacterized. The record is from RefSeq and is a predicted model, not a curated record. Lineage: Eukaryota; Viridiplantae; Streptophyta; Magnoliopsida; Brassicales; Brassicaceae. The transcript has 2 exons.